UAUAUAUCCAGCGUGUAAAGCAAACGGUUUCUGUAAUGGACUAAUUUGCUUACAUGCAGGUGGUGGAACGCUAGGGUUUUCGACUGAAAAAUAAAUGUCGAUAUGCCCUCAGAACUAAGCUGUAAUGGAGGAAGCCUCCCCGCCAUUGCAGGCCCUGUUCUCAUGCCGGAUAUAGUCAUUGCGCGAGAGCCGGAACCAAUAGGCGCGAGCCCCGAUUGAAUAUAUCCCGCGGGUCUCCUAUAGUUGUAAACAAAACAACAAAAACUAAACAAAAUAUUUUCUCGCGCAGGCUUUGCGCGAUUUUAUUUUGCGUUUGAAACGUACGAAAUACAAUAAAUAUAUAUGCAAUCUUCUUCGCGCCGCGCGCUACAUGGCGCUAGUUGAUGGCAUGUCUUCCUCCUGCAAACAGAAAGAGAUAAUGUUAGCAAAGCGUGGCCUGGCCUGCAUCGCUGCUGGCUCCGUGUACAUCCGUCCGUACUUACCGUGGGUGCGGCCGAGGCACUUCCGCAGUGCCGAAUAAUGAUACUCGGCGCGUUAGCAGGUGGUGGUGUCUCCACAUCUAUACUUUUUAGCUGUAGGCCGGUCUUGCCGGGUCCGGGGUAUACCUCUGCUGCGUCCAUCAUAAAUUGCAAGAGCUUUUGUCCGCUGCGAGGCAUACCCCGGAACCGUCGUUCUCGGUAUGUGUACUCCGCAAUAUAUUGGCCCAACGAUUCGUCGUCCCUCGCAGUUUUGAUGGUGUCCUACAAAAGGAAGAAAACCAGGUUGAGUUAGGUUUGUGGGCUGGAGUCCCCGGGCCGCAGCUUGGCAACGGGCGCCAGCCCUGCCGUGUUACAAUCAUACCUUCAAGUGCCGAUUUCUCGUCUCGAUGUUCUGUGUGUGCACUUGAGGAUCGAGGGUCGACACGAAUCUGAAAUACAGCAAUGCAAUGUUAUUUCCGUCCUUGAGGUCCUUGAAUUGAGGGGCCUGGCAAAUGCUGAGACCUCAAAUGACGUUCCACACACCUACCUUCCCGGACCCCGCACACUGUGGUUGACAGUUUUGUGUGCGGCGAAACCUAGUUGCUCGCAACCAAUAUAUUGCGGAGCACAGUCGCUGAUAAUAGUGCUCCC
RNAcentral lists this long non-coding RNA (1109 nucleotides) under Androctonus crassicauda. The record is from RNAcentral. Lineage: Eukaryota; Metazoa; Arthropoda; Arachnida; Scorpiones; Buthidae.